AAAUUGAAGAGUUUGAUCAUGGCUCAGAUUGAACGCUGGCGGCAGGCCUAACACAUGCAAGUCGAACGGUAACAGGAAGCAGCUUGCUGCUUUGCUGACGAGUGGCGGACGGGUGAGUAAUGUCUGGGAAACUGCCCGAUGGAGGGGGAUAACUACUGGAAACGGUAGCUAAU
Molecule: ribosomal RNA, 173 nt
Filed under: Escherichia coli
Lineage: Bacteria; Pseudomonadati; Pseudomonadota; Gammaproteobacteria; Enterobacterales; Enterobacteriaceae
Description: partial 16S ribosomal RNA
Rfam family: Bacterial small subunit ribosomal RNA
Source: RNAcentral